CUUGAGGCUGAGGCAGUGGCUCCUUGCACAGCAGCUGCACGCGCCGUGGCUCCGGAUCUCUUCGUCUUUGCAGCGUAGCCCGAGUCGGUCAGCGCCGGAGACCUCAGCAGCCAUGUCGAAGCCCCAUAGUGAAGCCGGGACUGCCUUCAUUCAGACCCAGCAGCUGCACGCAGCCAUGGCUGACACAUUCCUGGAGCACAUGUGCCGCCUGGACAUUGAUUCACCACCCAUCACAGCCCGGAACACUGGCAUCAUCUGUACCAUUGCCCAGCUUCCCGAUCAGUGGAGACGUUGAAGGAGAUGAUUAAGUCUGGAAUGAAUGUGGCUCGUCUGAACUUCUCUCAUGGAACUCAUGAUACCAUGCGGAGACCAUCAAGAAUGUGCGCACAGCCACGGAAAGCUUUGCUUCUGACCCCAUCCUCUAC
RNAcentral lists this long non-coding RNA (425 nucleotides) under Homo sapiens (human). Its description in RNAcentral is "non-protein coding lnc-PARP6-1:1". The record is from RNAcentral. Lineage: Eukaryota; Metazoa; Chordata; Mammalia; Primates; Hominidae.